AGAGAGAGACAUGCGCGCAUAUCAAUAAGCGGAGGAAAAGAAACUAACAAGGAUUCCCUUAGUAACGGCGAGUGAAGCGGGAAGAGCUCAAAUUUGAAAUCUUCAAGGUUUUACCUUGACGAAUUGUAGUUUAAAGAAGUGUUUUCUGCUGAAGUUUAUGGUAAAAGUUCUUUGGAAUAGGACAUCAUAGAGGGUGAGAAUCCCGUAUUUGACCAUUAUUUUCAGCUUUGUGAUACACUUUCAAAGAGUCGGAUUGUUUGGGAAUGCAGUCCAAAAUGGGUGGUAAAUUUCAUCUAAAGCUAAAUAUUGGCGAGAGACCGAUAGCGAACAAGUACCGUGAGGGAAAGAUGAAAAGAACUUUGAAAAGAGAGUUAAACAGUACGUGAAAUUGUCAAAAGGGAAGCGUUUGACACCAGUGUUGUUUUCUCGAAAAUCAAUUAAAAAUGGCUCGAUUUUGUAUUGUUGAGACCUUAAAAGCUCACUGUACAUUUUUCGUGUCUUUUUUAAUGCACUUUUCGUUUAACAAGUCAACAUCAGUUUCUUUUGUUGUAAAAGGGUCAUUGGAAGGUGGCUUUCUUUUCGGAGAAAGUGUUUAUAGCCUUUGGCCUCUGCAAUCGGAAGAGACUGAGGUCUGCAGCGUAGACUCUUCGGGGUUAGAUACAUUUGUGCUAAGUUAUAGCUUUUUAUAGACAACUUGUUGACUAUAAUUAGUCUUGUAGCUUACUCGCUUAUGCUAUUUUACCUACGCUUAGGAUGUUGAGUCGUAGAGCACGCAG
RNAcentral lists this ribosomal RNA (776 nucleotides) under uncultured Neocallimastigales. Its description in RNAcentral is "partial large subunit ribosomal RNA". It matches the Rfam family "Eukaryotic large subunit ribosomal RNA", at positions 23 to 634 of the family's 3401-position model. Lineage: Eukaryota; Fungi; Neocallimastigomycota; Neocallimastigomycetes; Neocallimastigales. The record is from RNAcentral.